CCAAGUUCGAUCGGUAGCGGGAGCGGAGAGCGGACCCCAGAGAGCCCUGAGCAGCCCCACCGCCGCCGCCGGCCUAGUUACCAUCACACCCCGGGAGGAGCCGCAGCUGCCGCAGCCGGCCCCAGUCACCAUCACCGCAACCAUGAGCAGCGAGGCCGAGACCCAGCAGCCGCCCGCCGCCCCCGCCCUCAGCGCUGCCGACACCAAGCCCGGCACGACGGGCAGCGGCGCAGGGAGCGGCGGCCCGGGCGGCCUCACAUCGGCGGCGCCUGCCGGCGGGGACAAGAAGGUCAUCGCAACGAAGGUUUUGGGAACAGUAAAAUGGUUCAAUGUAAGGAACGGAUAUGGUUUCAUCAACAGGAAUGACACCAAGGAAGAUGUAUUUGUACACCAGACUGCCAUAAAGAAGAAUAACCCCAGGAAGUACCUUCGCAGUGUAGGAGAUGGAGAGACUGUGGAGUUUGAUGUUGUUGAAGGAGAAAAGGGUGCGGAGGCAGCAAAUGUUACAGGCCCUGGUGGAGUUCCAGUGCAAGGCAGUAAAUACGCAGCAGACCGUAACCAUUAUAGGCGCUAUCCACGUCGCAGGGGUCCUCCACGCAAUUACCAGCAGAAUUACCAGAAUACACCUCAGUGUUCAUGGCAGCACUAUUUACAACAGUGCUCCCGAAGGCCAGGCCCAACAGCGCCGGCCCUACCGCAGGCGGAGGUUCCCACCUUACUACAUGCGGAGACCCUAUGGGCGUCGACCACAGUACUCCAACCCUCCUGUGCAGGGAGAAGUGAUGGAGGGUGCUGACAACCAGGGUGCAGGAGAACAAGGUAGACCAGUGAGACAGAAUAUGUAUCGGGGUUAUAGACCACGAUUCCGCAGGGGCCCUCCUCGCCAAAGACAGCCCAGAGAGGACGGCAAUGAAGAAGAUAAGGAAAAUCAAGGAGAUGAGACCCAAGGUCAGCAACCACCUCAACGUCGGUACCGCCGCAACUUCAAUUACCGACGCAGACGCCCAGAAAACCCUAAACCACAAGAUGGCAAAGAGACAAAAGCAGCCGAUCCACCAGCUGAGAAUUCGUCCGCUCCCGAGGCUGAGCAGGGCGGGGCUGAGUAAAUGCCGGCUUACCAUCUCUACCAUCAUCCGGUUUAGUCAUCCAACAAGAAGAAAUGAAUAUGAAAUUCCAGCAAUAAGAAAUGAACAAAAGAUUGGAGCUGAAGACCUUAAGUGCUUGCUUUUUGCCUGUUGACCAGAUAACUAGAACUAUCUGCAUUAUCUAUGCAGCAUGGGGUUUUUAUUAUUUUUACCUAAAGACGUCUCUUUUUGGUAAUGACAAACGUGUUUUUUAGAAAAAAAAAAAAGCCUGUUUUUUCUCAAUACACCUUUAAAGGUUUUUAAAUUGUUUCAUAUCUGGUCAAGUUGAGAUUUUUAAGAACCUCAUUUUUAAUUUGUAAUAAAAGUUUACAGCUUGAUUUUUUCAAAAAAAAAGUCAACAAACUGCAAGCACCUGUUAAUAAAGGUCUUAAUUAAUUGU
Molecule: RNA transcript, 1524 nt
Organism: Cervus elaphus (red deer)
Lineage: Eukaryota; Metazoa; Chordata; Mammalia; Artiodactyla; Cervidae
Gene name: Y-box-binding protein 1-like
Exons: 1
Source: RefSeq, a predicted model, not a curated record